RNAcentral lists this ribosomal RNA (468 nucleotides) under uncultured bacterium. Its description in RNAcentral is "partial 16S ribosomal RNA". It matches the Rfam family "Bacterial small subunit ribosomal RNA", at positions 28 to 507 of the family's 1533-position model. The record is from RNAcentral.
GACGAACGCUGGCGGCGUGCUUAACACAUGCAAGUCGAACGGAAAGGCCCUGCUUUUGUGGGGUGCUCGAGUGGCGAACGGGUGAGUAACACGUGAGUAACCUGCCCUUGACUUUGGGAUAACUUCAGGAAACUGGGGCUAAUACCGGAUAGGAGCUCCUGCUGCAUGGUGGGGGUUGGAAAGUUUCGGCGGUUGGGGAUGGACUCGCGGCUUAUCAGCUUGUUGGUGGGGUAGUGGCUUACCAAGGCUUUGACGGGUAGCCGGCCUGAGAGGGUGACCGGCCACAUUGGGACUGAGAGACGGCGCAGACGCCUACGGGAGGCAGCAGGGGGGAAUAUUGCACAAUGGGCGGAAGCCUGAGGCAGCAACGCUGCGUGCGGGAUGACGGCCUUCGGGUUGUAAACCGCUUUCGCCUGUGACGAAGCGUGAGUGACGGUAAUGGGUAAAGAAGCACCGGCUAACUACGUG